Molecule: ribosomal RNA, 2349 nt
Filed under: Salmonella enterica subsp. enterica serovar Schwarzengrund
Lineage: Bacteria; Pseudomonadati; Pseudomonadota; Gammaproteobacteria; Enterobacterales; Enterobacteriaceae
Description: bacterial LSU rRNA
Rfam family: Bacterial large subunit ribosomal RNA
Source: RNAcentral
GUAUAAUGGGUCAGCGACUUAUAUUCUGUAGCAAGGUUAACCGAAUAGGGGAGCCGGAGGGAAACCGAGUCUUAAUUUGGCGUUAAGUUGCAGGGUAUAGACCCGAAACCCGGUGAUCUAGCCAUGGGCAGGUUGAAGGUUGGGUAACACUAACUGGAGGACCGAACCGACUAAUGUUGAAAAAUUAGCGGAUGACCUGUGGCUGGGGGUGAAAGGCCAAUCAAACCGGGAGAUAGCUGGUUCUCCCCGAAAGCUAUUUAGGUAGCGCCUCGUGAAUUCAUCUCCGGGGGUAGAGCACUGUUUCGGCUAGGGGGCCAUCCCGGCUUACCAACCCGAUGCAAACUGCGAAUACCGGAGAAUGUUAUCACGGGAGACACACGGCGGGUGCUAACGUCCGUCGUGAAGAGGGAAACAACCCAGACCGCCAGCUAAGGUCCCAAAGUCAUGGUUAAGUGGGAAACGAUGUGGGAAGGCCCAGACAGCCAGGAUGUUGGCUUAGAAGCAGCCAUCAUUUAAAGAAAGCGUAAUAGCUCACUGGUCGAGUCGGCCUGCGCGGAAGAUGUAACGGGGCUAAACCAUGCACCGAAGCUGCGGCAGCGACGCUGAUGCGUUGUUGGGUAGGGGAGCGUUCUGUAAGCCUGCGAAGGUGGCCUGUGAGGGUUGCUGGAGGUAUCAGAAGUGCGAAUGCUGACAUAAGUAACGAUAAAGCGGGUGAAAAGCCCGCUCGCCGGAAGACCAAGGGUUCCUGUCCAACGUUAAUCGGGGCAGGGUGAGUCGACCCCUAAGGCGAGGCCGAAAGGCGUAGUCGAUGGGAAACGGGUUAAUAUUCCCGUACUUGGUGUUACUGCGAAGGGGGGACGGAGAAGGCUAUGUUGGCCGGGCGACGGUUGUCCCGGUUUAAGCGUGUAGGUGUGUGUUCCAGGUAAAUCCGGUUCACUUUAACACUGAGGCGUGAUGACGAGGCACUACGGUGCUGAAGCAACAAAUGCCCUGCUUCCAGGAAAAGCCUCUAAGCAUCAGGUAACAUCAAAUCGUACCCCAAACCGACACAGGUGGUCAGGUAGAGAAUACCAAGGCGCUUGAGAGAACUCGGGUGAAGGAACUAGGCAAAAUGGUGCCGUAACUUCGGGAGAAGGCACGCUGACACGUAGGUGAAGUGAUUUACUCAUGGAGCUGAAGUCAGUCGAAGAUACCAGCUGGCUGCAACUGUUUAUUAAAAACACAGCACUGUGCAAACACGAAAGUGGACGUAUACGGUGUGACGCCUGCCCGGUGCCGGAAGGUUAAUUGAUGGGGUCAGCGCAAGCGAAGCUCCUGAUCGAAGCCCCGGUAAACGGCGGCCGUAACUAUAACGGUCCUAAGGUAGCGAAAUUCCUUGUCGGGUAAGUUCCGACCUGCACGAAUGGCGUAAUGAUGGCCAGGCUGUCUCCACCCGAGACUCAGUGAAAUUGAACUCGCUGUGAAGAUGCAGUGUACCCGCGGCAAGACGGAAAGACCCCGUGAACCUUUACUAUAGCUUGACACUGAACAUUGAGCCUUGAUGUGUAGGAUAGGUGGGAGGCUUUGAAGUGUGGACGCCAGUCUGCAUGGAGCCGGCCUUGAAAUACCACCCUUUAAUGUUUGAUGUUCUAACGUGGACCCGUGAUCCGGGUUGCGGACAGUGUCUGGUGGGUAGUUUGACUGGGGCGGUCUCCUCCUAAAGAGUAACGGAGGAGCACGAAGGUUGGCUAAUCCUGGUCGGACAUCAGGAGGUUAGUGCAAUGGCAUAAGCCAGCUUGACUGCGAGCGUGACGGCGCGAGCAGGUGCGAAAGCAGGUCAUAGUGAUCCGGUGGUUCUGAAUGGAAGGGCCAUCGCUCAACGGAUAAAAGGUACUCCGGGGAUAACAGGCUGAUACCGCCCAAGAGUUCAUAUCGACGGCGGUGUUUGGCACCUCGAUGUCGGCUCAUCACAUCCUGGGGCUGAAGUAGGUCCCAAGGGUAUGGCUGUUCGCCAUUUAAAGUGGUACGCGAGCUGGGUUUAGAACGUCGUGAGACAGUUCGGUCCCUAUCUGCCGUGGGCGCUGGAGAACUGAGGGGGGCUGCUCCUAGUACGAGAGGACCGGAGUGGACGCAUCACUGGUGUUCGGGUUGUCAUGCCAAUGGCACUGCCCGGUAGCUAAAUGCGGAAGAGAUAAGUGCUGAAAGCAUCUAAGCACGAAACUUGCCCCGAGAUGAGUUCUCCCUGAGACUUAGAGUCUCCUGAAGGAACGUUGAAGACGACGACGUUGAUAGGCCGGGUGUGUAAGCGCAGCGAUGCGUUGAGCUAACCGGUACUAAUGAACCGUGAGGCUUAACCUUACAACGCCGAAG